RNAcentral lists this ribosomal RNA (447 nucleotides) under uncultured bacterium. RNAcentral's name for it is "bacterial SSU rRNA". It matches the Rfam family "Bacterial small subunit ribosomal RNA", at positions 355 to 825 of the family's 1533-position model. The record is from RNAcentral.
UGGGGAAUAUUGGACAAUGGGGGCAACCCUAAUCCAGCCAUGCCGCGUGAGUGAUGAAGGCCUUCGGGUUGUAAAGCUCUUUUGGCGGGGACGAUGAUGACGGUACCCGCAGAAUAAGCCCCGGCUAACUUCGUGCCAGCAGCCGCGGUAAUACGAAGGGGGCUAGCGUUGUUCGGAAUUACUGGGCGUAAAGCGCACGUAGGCGGAUUGUUAAGUCAGAGGUGAAAUCCCGGAGCUCAACUUCGGAACUGCCUUUGAUACUGGCAAUCUAGAGUCCGGAAGAGGUUAGUGGAAUUCCCAGUGUAGAGGUGAAAUUCGUAGAUAUUGGGAAGAACACCAGUGGCGAAGGCGGCUAACUGGUCCGGUACUGACGCUGAGGUGCGAAAGCGUGGGGAGCAAACAGGAUUAGAUACCCAAGUAGUCCCUGAGCGGGCUGGCAAGGCGCAU